This 185-nucleotide unclassified non-coding RNA is filed under the name uncultured Rozellomycota. Its description in RNAcentral is "uncultured Cryptomycota sequence contains ITS2". The record is from RNAcentral. Lineage: Eukaryota; Fungi; Rozellomycota.
AACAAGAUCAACUCUAGUUGAGAGUUGGGAGUGGCCUUAUAUGCCUAGUGUGUAUUUGGCUUGAAUUGAUCGAGUUGAUGAGCUUCCCAGCGCGGCUCAAUGUGUGCUAGCGAGACAGUCGUCCCGAUCUCACAUUAUCGCUGCGUUGCAGAGUUCUGACCACAGCUCGCUAAACUUUCUAUCAA